Molecule: ribosomal RNA, 268 nt
Filed under: uncultured bacterium
Lineage: Bacteria
Description: partial 16S ribosomal RNA
Rfam family: Bacterial small subunit ribosomal RNA
Source: RNAcentral
UGGCGACCGGCGCACGGGUGAGUAACGCGUAUCCAACCUGCCCUUUACUAUGGGACAGCCCGUCGAAAGGCGGAUUAAUACCGUAUGUUGUCAUGUUGAUGCAUAUUUUCAUGACCAAAGGCUUCGGCCGGUAAAGGAUGGGGAUGCGUCUGAUUAGCUUGCCGGCGGGGUAACGGCCCACCGGGGCGACGAUCAGUAGGGGUUCUGAGAGGAAGGCCCCCCACCACUGGGACUGAGACACGGCCCAGACUCCUACGGAAGGCAGCAG